This 481-nucleotide ribosomal RNA is filed under the name uncultured bacterium. RNAcentral describes it as "partial 16S ribosomal RNA". It matches the Rfam family "Bacterial small subunit ribosomal RNA", at positions 28 to 507 of the family's 1533-position model. The record is from RNAcentral.
GACGAACGUUGGCGGCGUGCUUAAUACAUGCAAGUCAACUGAAGCAGUGGUAGCAAUAUCGCUGUGGAGGUGGCGCACGGGUGAGUAACACGUAGGUAAUCUGCCUUCAGGUCUGGCAUAACUCCGGGAAACCGGGGCUAAUAGCAGAUGAUGCAGCGGCUCGACAUCGAGACAGUUGUUAAAGCUAUGGCGCCUGAAGAUGAGCCUGCGUCUGAUUAGCUAGUUGGCGGGGUAACGGCCCACCAAGGCAACGAUCAGUAGCUGGUCUGAGAGGAUGAUCAGCCACACUGGAACUGAGACACGGUCCAGACUCCUACGGGAGGCAGCAGUAAGGAAUAUUGCUCAAUGGGAGAAAUACCGAAGCAGCAACGCCGCGUGAGGGACGAAGGGCUUUUGCUUGUAAACCUCUGUAGUGAGAGAAAAAAAUCCCAAUCUUUGGGACAUGAUGGUAUCUCAAAAGUAAGCCCCGGCUAACUACGUG